UUUGUUUCAACAAUUUUGUUGUUGUUCUCAUCUGUUGUCUGUUUAGAAAUUCACACUCUUGUUGCAGUGGUGAUCUUUAUUUAGUCUUUUGGAAGAGACAGUAUUUACCUCAUCAGGAACUGUGAAGGAACCUCUUCCCUGCAAUGAAGAGAACAGGGAAACGGCUGCAUGUGAAGGUCUGUGCAAGCAAGCCUUUGAAGACUAGAGAGCACACUGUCCCUUCAAAUGAGACCAACUCUUCCCCUCUGAAGAAAAAGCCAUGCCACCUGAAACACCCAUCAUUUCACUAAGGCCAUUAGCGCUCACUCUUGUUGGAUGCAUCGUGACCGCUGGAUGGUAAGCACUUCUUAACGAUGCUCACAGAGCCUUUUCCCUAGCUGAAGGCUGUCGAGCUGGUAAAUGGCUUUCCUCCAUCUUCCUCAACCGGAGCUUCUGCCUGCAGUCCAUCCUCUGUGUCACUUUCAGAACUGGUGAUAAAAUAAGGUGUUCUGAUCAAGACAAUGGCCCCCACUCCGUUGGCUGCAAUAACAGUAGACUCACCUUUGCCGCCACCAGCACUUCUAUCUGUGUGGGCAUCCGGUUUCAUCCUGGCUGAGUUUCGAGGAGGAAGUGCUCGCUGGACCAGGACUGUCUGUGCCUCAUCCACAUCUGUUUAU
This is a long non-coding RNA of Mus musculus (house mouse), 656 nucleotides long. RefSeq annotates it as predicted gene, 33875. NCBI's taxonomy places the organism in Eukaryota, Metazoa, Chordata, Mammalia, Rodentia, Muridae. The record is from RefSeq and is a predicted model, not a curated record. The transcript is spliced from 4 exons.